This 136-nucleotide ribosomal RNA is filed under the name uncultured bacterium. Its description in RNAcentral is "partial 16S ribosomal RNA". It matches the Rfam family "Bacterial small subunit ribosomal RNA", at positions 355 to 507 of the family's 1533-position model. The record is from RNAcentral.
UAAGGGAUAUUGCACAAUGGGCGCAAGCCUGAUGCAGCGACGCCGCGUGGGCGAAGAAGGUUUUCGGAUCGUAAAGUCCUUUUCUAGGUGACGAGGAUGGACGGUAGCCUAGGAAUAAGUGUCGGCUAACUACGUG